GUGCCAGCAGCCGCGGUAAUACGUAGGUGGCAAGCGUUGUCCGGAAUUAUUGGGCGUAAAGCGCGCGCAGGCGGUUCCUUAAGUCUGAUGUGAAAGCCCACGGCUCAACCGUGGAGGGUCAUUGGAAACUGGGGGACUUGAGUGCAGAAGAGGAGAGUGGAAUUCCACGUGUAGCGGUGAAAUGCGUAGAGAUGUGGAGGAACACCAGUGGCGAAGGCGGCUCUCUGGUCUGUAACUGACGCUGAGGCGCGAAGGCGUGGGGAGCAAACAGGAUUAGAUUCCCCUGGUGGUUC
Molecule: ribosomal RNA, 293 nt
Filed under: uncultured microorganism
Description: partial 16S ribosomal RNA
Rfam family: Bacterial small subunit ribosomal RNA
Source: RNAcentral